GUCCCUUCGCUGCGCGAGGAGCUGGGAGCCGCGCCUGCCGCCAUGUUCCGCCGGGCCGCCGCCGCCCGGGGCCUCUAGCCGCCCGCGCCCCGCCCGCCGCCCCGCGCCCCUCUCCCGCCAGCCCGCGGGCGGAGGAGGCGGACGAAGGCGCCGCCGCGCCCAAAAGCCGCCGCCGGAGCCCGGCAGCGCUCAGCGAUGUCCGCCAAGGAGGGGAGCAAGGUGCUGCUGCUGCCGCCCCACGCCACCAGCGAGCGCGCCGUCAAGGCUGUCCCUUUUCCACCAACGCAUCGUUUGACAUCUGAAGAAGUGUUUGACACAGAUGGAAAACCCAGGGUUGACAUUUUGAAGAACCACUUGAUUAAGGAAGGUCGAGUGGAUGAAGAAAUUGCACUUAGAAUCAUCAAUGAGGGUGCUGCAAUAUUACGGAGGGAAAAAACUAUGAUAGAAGUUGAAGCUCCAAUUACAGUGUGUGGUGAUAUACAUGGCCAGUUCUUUGAUCUAAUGAAGCUGUUUGAAGUGGGAGGAUCACCUGCUAACACAAGAUACCUCUUCCUCGGUGACUAUGUAGACAGAGGUUAUUUUAGUAUAGAGUGUGUGCUGUAUUUAUGGGUCCUGAAAAUUCUCUAUCCAAGCACGUUAUUUCUUUUGAGAGGCAACCAUGAAUGCAGACACCUAACAGAGUAUUUUACGUUUAAACAAGAAUGUAAAAUAAAAUACUCUGAAAGAGUCUAUGAUGCUUGUAUGGAAGCUUUUGAUUGCCUCCCUCUUGCUGCUCUCCUAAAUCAACAGUUUCUUUGUGUUCAUGGUGGACUUUCACCAGAAAUUAAUACACUAGAUGACAUUAGGAGAUUAGAUAGAUUCAAAGAACCUCCAGCAUUUGGACCAAUGUGUGACUUACUGUGGUCAGAUCCUUCAGAAGAUUUUGGAAAUGAAAGUUCACCAGAGCACUUCAGUCACAAUACAGUCAGAGGAUGCUCAUACUUUUAUAGCUAUCCAGCAGUUUGUGAAUUUUUGCAAAAUAAUAAUUUGUUGUCAAUCAUUAGAGCACAUGAAGCACAAGAUGCAGGUUAUAGAAUGUACAGGAAAAGUCAAACUACAGGGUUUCCAUCAUUAAUAACAAUUUUUUCAGCACCUAAUUACCUGGAUGUCUACAAUAAUAAAGCUGCUGUUUUAAAAUAUGAAAACAAUGUGAUGAAUAUUCGUCAAUUCAAUUGUUCUCCUCAUCCUUACUGGCUACCAAAUUUUAUGGAUGUUUUUACAUGGUCCUUGCCAUUUGUUGGAGAAAAAGUAACAGAAAUGUUGGUGAAUGUUUUGAGCAUUUGUUCUGAUGAUGAACUGAUGACAGAGGGAGAAGAUCAAUUUGACGAGCGACUCAUGUAUGGCAAUAAAAAAGUAGGUACAGCUGCCGCACGGAAAGAAAUAAUCAGGAACAAAAUUCGUGCAAUUGGCAAGAUGGCAAGAGUCUUCUCUGUUCUCAGGGAGGAGAGUGAAAGUGUGCUGACACUCAAGGGUUUGACUCCCACUGGAAUGUUACCUAGUGGAGUGUUGGCUGGAGGACGACAGACCCUGCAAAGUGGAAAAGAUUGAAAACAGAGACUUCACAGGUAACAGGAAAUGGUGGAAAGAGGUGUUUUUUUCUCACAUAGCUUUGUACCUAUAUGGCAAAUUGGUUAUAUCUUGUAUUCAGUGACAUUCUAAAGCAAUUCUUAAACUAAUUUGCAGCUAAUUUUACAAAUUGAGAAAGUUUAUUUUCCCUAAUAUAAACAUAAAUUGUCAUCCAUUCAAGUGGAUUUUUGAUAUAACUGGGAUUGCCCCUGCCCCUUUAAAGUUGUGUAGGAUUAUUAUUAUUAUUGUAACUCAGAAUGUGCAGUAUGUAAAAGUUAAAAUGCUGCAUUAUUCUUAUGUAUUCCACAGUAUUUUAAUAGGAAUUCAAGCAACUAUUUUUUUUAAGAGCAUCUCAGUGGAAAUGAAGGUUUUAUGUAACAUUAAGGCAGAGUGUAGGCAGUUGAUACAUCUGCUGUGUCUGGUUUAUGUUGGCCAGGAAAUGAGAAGUACUAAACUUAAUUCACUUGGACGAAUUCUGUUCUAACGCCAUCUUUUCCUAAACUGCUAGGUUUCCUAGCAUUCACUUUAAUAUAGGUUUACUGCUAGGUACUGUUUUCAGUUAGAAUUUAUUAAAUUAGGCAAUUAGAGGCAUGGCAGAUAGAAGGGGAGGCAGUAAGUUGUUAGCAACACUGAAACUUAGCUACAAUUUAGAUCUUGGUUACAAGCAUUUUGCUUGACUGGUCUGCCCAAGUAGGUUAAUUUGAUUUUGAUAUCCUCAGAACCUUACGUUAUAGCUUUGACUUUUAGAUCUAAAACAAUAAACAACAGAAAAAUCUCACACCUCAGAAUUUACCACAUUAGUCAUGGUUACUUACUGCAGUAAAACCAGUAAGCUAGAUUUUUUUCUUCAUGUUCACAUGAAGUCAUCCACCAAGACUAUGUUACAACCAGACCUCUUCAUGCUCUAGGCUUUGUUGUUGGUUCAACUAAGCAAUUUAUGAGACUUUGUAAAUAUGACUUGCUAGAUUUGUCUUUUAUAGUUUAAAUUUCACAGUUCAGUUCCCAGGGAUACUCAUUUAAGCGUAAAAUAUGGUGAGAAAUUGAAGUACAAGUUUAACUUCAGGGAGUUAACCGUAAAAAGGGAAAGUAUUUUCUUAUUAGCAGAACACUGAUAGUGUUACAUUAGAGCAUCCUGCUUGGUAAUUUAGUGAAGCUCACUAAUACGUUUUAAUCUUCAGAAAGUUAAUCUCAAAUAGAUUUUCUUUUUAACCAUACCACAACUUUAACAUUAGUUGACAUCUUAUAUUGCUUUCUUUAAAGAAAAAAAAAACCAAUAUCAUAGAAAUGUACAGUUUAAAACGUAAAUGAAGUUCCAGUAAUCAGUGUUUCUCUUGGUAUACUUUGACUUGAUAAACUGUAAUAGUUAAAAUGCAGGAGAAGUUUCACUUAAGCUUAAAAACAACCCCCAGAGCCUUAAUUAUAAUUUGAAAUAAUUUUAAUCUAAUCUGGCGUAGCGUUCUAUAUUAAAUUGAUCAUUGCCUUUUCUGCUGUGCGAUAUUACACUCUUCAUCUUUCUCAUUCAUUUUGCAUGCAUCUGCUCACUUCUGUACAGCCACUGUAGAGGCAAUUGAGGCUGAAAAAGCAAUACGAGGAUUCUCUCCGCAACAUAAAAUCUGCAGUUUUGAAGAAGCAAAAGGUUUGGAUAGGAUCAAUGAGAGAAUGCCACCAAGAAAAGAUGCUCUUCAGCAAGAUGGUAUUAAUACUAUAAACACAACAAA
Gallus gallus (chicken) is the source of this 3323-nucleotide RNA transcript. It is a transcript of the gene named protein phosphatase 3 catalytic subunit beta, with no coding region annotated. The record is from RefSeq and is marked provisional. The transcript has 16 exons. NCBI's taxonomy places the organism in Eukaryota, Metazoa, Chordata, Aves, Galliformes, Phasianidae.